Non-coding RNA from Microcebus murinus (gray mouse lemur), 1686 nucleotides. The record is from RefSeq and is a predicted model, not a curated record. NCBI's taxonomy places the organism in Eukaryota, Metazoa, Chordata, Mammalia, Primates, Cheirogaleidae.
CAUGAAGUCACAGGAGCUUUACCUCAUGUAGAAGAAAACUUGAGCCUUUUAGUGUGGUUCUAGAUACAUGGAUACAGAGACAGAUUCCAGCUCCACACAAAGAGGACAUUUCUGACAGAAUAGUCUGACCAGAGUCGACUGCAUUAGAAGAUGAGAUGAACAAGGAAGCUCAGAUAAGCAAGAAUCCUAGGUGGAGUCUUUUAAUCUUUCUGACUCUUCCCCUCAAAAACUGAUAGAGUAACUAUAUAGGUAAACAUAUAAGCAAACACAGAAAAAUCCCAUGGACAACAUCUACUAAAAAACAAGGAAGAAGAAUUAACUAAAAGGGAAGAGGGCAGCAAAGACUAGGACACAACAUUGUCUUGGAGAUUAGGCCAAGAUGGCCGACUACAAGCAGCCUGCGCCACACUGCUCUCACGGAGAGGAUCGAAAGAUUUGAAUAGAUAUCCACCUUUGAAUCAAUCCUUUGAGCGAGAACACCUGAAAUUCAUGGAGAGGAUGCAGAAGUGGAGUGAAGGAGACAGAAGUAGAUUGAAGAAGACAGAAGGGGGACAACCUGCUCAGCAGGAUUGGAGGUAACUAGGGAAGGUGCCCACACAUGGGAAAGGGACAAAGGAGAGAAUCCUGGGCUCCACACUUCCCCUGAGGAUACUGCAACCGGAGAGGCAGGAGGACUCCUCUACCACAGCAGGCCUCUAGAUUGAUAUAGAGAACUGACUGGAGACUGUGCAGCUGUGUUGCACAGAGAGAAGGGACGGCUGGCUUGCAAGCUCUGGGUGCUUGGCUGGAACCAUUGUAGCAUCCCAACCCCAGAAUGCUACUUUUGCCCAGGGGUCAGAUCUAAGAAUGAUGCCUCCAGCCUCACCCUGCCAGGUGGGGAGGGAGGAGGGAAUCUCAGCAUUUGCAAGUGCUUCAUGGGCAGGUGACAUGCACCCCCAUUGCUUCUGCUGCCACUGGGGGCCCCUGGGAAGAACAGGAGACCAUGGGCCUGGUGCCCACUGCUGUGCCUUGUACUAUCACACUCAACCGCACUUCCCUCCGGUGGAGCACACACCCAGAGCUCUCAGUGCCUGCUACCCACUACUGGGGCAACUGGAUCACUACCACUGCCACUGCUUGGGAGGCCCCAAGGAGGACAAUCACCUGUCACCUUUGCACAUGAGUGGACUUCAUGCUGUGGAUGUAUGCCGUCCCACGCAGGUGCUCUGGGCUCCACACCUUGCUCACCCCCUGACCUACCCACCCACCCUGCCCUGCAGCUGUCUCAGCCUGAACAUGUGAGCAGGACACCCUACAGACCUGCUUCAUCUCACAUAGGCACCCUCGCCUAUGGGUCCAGCUCUGCCCUUCGCAUGAGCUGUGACCUGAUGGCCCACUAUACACCUGGCACCUGCUCCAUCCCAUAAGCCUGCUACACCCUGCACAUUCAUCACAUCCUGCAUGCCCCUUGCCCCACCCAUGUGCCCAGCACUUUAGCCACCCAGGCCUGCACCCAUGGACAUGGCGCCCAGAGGACUUCCUACAUCUUGUGUGCAUGCUCCAUCCCGCUGGCCAGCCCCACUUGGCAUGUCCAUCCUGAACCAGUCUCAGAUCUGAUCCCUGCCACAGUGGCCCAGUGACAACCACAGAGAAACAGGGGACAUGGAUUGGGAGAAAAUAUUUGUGAACUAUACAUCUGAUAAGGGG